CUGAGAUCUUCUAUGUCCGUUAUCCCAUAGAUAUCAGAGACGAGUAACAGGAAGUAGCUUGCUACUUCGCUGACGAGCGGCGGACGGGUGAGUAAUGCCUGGGAAUAUGCCUUGAUGUGGGGGAUAACUAUUGGAAACGAUAGCUAAUACCGCAUAAUGCCUACGGGCCAAAGAGGGGGAUCUUCGGACCUCUCGCGUCAAGAUUAGCCCAGGUGGGAUUAGCUAGUUGGUGGGGUAAAGGCUCACCAAGGCGACGAUCCCUAGCUGGUCUGAGAGGAUGAUCAGCCACACUGGAACUGAGACACGGUCCAGACUCCUACGGGAGGCAGCAGUGGGGAAUAUUGCACAAUGGGGGAAACCCUGAUGCAGCCAUGCCGCGUGUAUGAAGAAGGCCUUCGGGUUGUAAAGUACUUUCAGCAGUGAGGAAGGUGGUAGUGUUAAUAGCACUAUCAUUUGACGUUAGCUGCAGAAGAAGCACCGGCUAACUCCGUGCCAGCAGCCGCGGUAAUACGGAGGGUGCGAGCGUUAAUCGGAAUUACUGGGCGUAAAGCGCAUGCAGGCGGUCUGUUAAGCAAGAUGUGAAAGCCCGGGGCUCAACCUCGGAACAGCAUUUUGAACUGGCAGACUAGAGUCUUGUAGAGGGGGGUAGAAUUUCAGGUGUAGCGGUGAAAUGCGUAGAGAUCUGAAGGAAUACCGGUGGCGAAGGCGGCCCCCUGGACAAAGACUGACGCUCAGAUGCGAAAGCGUGGGGAGCAAACAGGAUUAGAUACCCUGGUAGUCCACGCCGUAAACGAUGUCUACUUGGAGGUUGGUGUCUUGAACACUGGCUUUCGGAGCUAACGCGUUAAGUAGACCGCCUGGGGAGUACGGUCGCAAGAUUAAAACUCAAAUGAAUUGACGGGGGCCCGCACAAGCGGUGGAGCAUGUGGUUUAAUUCGAUGCAACGCGAAGAACCUUACCUACUCUUGACAUCCAGAGAAUUCGCUAGAGAUAGCUUAGUGGCUUUCGGGACCUCUGAAACACGUGGCUGCAAGGGCUGUCGUCAACCUCUCGCUUGUGAAAAUGUUGGGAUAAGUUCCCCUAACGAACCGCAACCCUUUUCCUUGUUUGGCCGGCAGUAAAGGGUUGGGACCUCCCCGGAAAACUGCCCGGUGAAUAACCCCGGAGGAAAGUCCGGGAGGAAGGGCGGGGCAACCUGGCCCCUUUCGAGUGGGGUUUUA
Molecule: ribosomal RNA, 1220 nt
Filed under: Photobacterium swingsii
Lineage: Bacteria; Pseudomonadati; Pseudomonadota; Gammaproteobacteria; Vibrionales; Vibrionaceae
Description: bacterial SSU rRNA
Rfam family: Bacterial small subunit ribosomal RNA
Source: RNAcentral